AUUGAACGCUGGCGGCAUGCUUUACACAUGCAAGUCGAGCGGCAGCGCGGGGGCAACCUUGGCGGCGAGCGGCGAACGGGUGAGUAAUGCAUCGGAACGUAUCCUGUAGUGGGGAAUAACUCACCGAAAGGUGAGCUAAUACCGCAUAAGCUCUGAGGAGGAAAGCGGGGGACCGAAAGGCCUCGCGCUGCAGGAGCGGCCGAUGUCCGAUUAGCUAGUUGGUGAGGUAAAGGCUCACCAAGGCGACGAUCGGUAGCUGGUCUGAGAGGAUGAUCAGCCACACUGGGACUGAGACACGGCCCAGACUCCUACGGGAGGCAGCAGUGGGGAAUUUUGGACAAUGGGGGAAACCCUGAUCCAGCCAUGCCGCGUGAGUGAAGAAGGCCUUCGGGUUGUAAAGACUCUUUCGGACGGAACCGGAAAUUAGCUUGGACUAAUAACUCUGAGUAGAUAGACGGUACCGUAAGAAGAAGC
Molecule: ribosomal RNA, 474 nt
Filed under: uncultured bacterium
Lineage: Bacteria
Description: bacterial SSU rRNA
Rfam family: Bacterial small subunit ribosomal RNA
Source: RNAcentral